GGUUCCCUCAGCUCUGCAAACACAGCCUAACUCUGCUACUUCCUAAGACUGCGUCAGUGUAUGAGGCAAGGAGAACGGGGGCUGCAGUCUGGAAGAAUCCAGGAGCUCUGCACUGCAGACAACCUGGACAGGCUGGACUGGAGUCUGAGUCCCCCAUCUUGGUGGGAGUGGCCUAAUCCAGCUGCAGCUGCUUAUUGGCUGUUGUUCUUAAGCAACAGUUUUCCUUACUUGGACUCAACCUUCCAGCCCAGUUUACUUUGGGGGAAAGCAAGUGAAGGUUGCUCUUGUCAGGCUCAGCUUUUGACAGUCAUAGAGAAUGAAAGUCAUCCUUGCUCUGAAGCCUUGUCUCCAGGCUCACCUGGCUGGUAGGCAAGGCCUCUAGCUUUCAUCGUCCUUCUUUAAAUGGCC
Molecule: long non-coding RNA, 408 nt
Filed under: Rattus norvegicus (Norway rat)
Lineage: Eukaryota; Metazoa; Chordata; Mammalia; Rodentia; Muridae
Description: long non-coding RNA NONRATT001881
Source: RNAcentral